RNAcentral lists this non-coding RNA (947 nucleotides) under Stephanoberyx monae. Its description in RNAcentral is "12S ribosomal RNA". It matches the Rfam family "Bacterial small subunit ribosomal RNA". Lineage: Eukaryota; Metazoa; Chordata; Actinopteri; Beryciformes; Stephanoberycidae. The record is from RNAcentral.
CAAAGGCUUGGUCCUGACUUUCCUAUCAGUUCUUACUAAAUUUAUACAUGCAAGUAUCCGCACCCCCGUGAGAAUGCCCUCAUUACCCCGACUGGGAUUGAGGAGCCGGUAUCAGGCACGCACCUGCAGCCCAAGACGCCUUGCUUAGCCACACCCCCAAGGGAACUCAGCAGUAAUAAACAUUAAGCCAUAAGUGAAAACUUGACUUAGUUAAAGUAAAUACCGGGCCGGUAAAACUCGUGCCAGCCACCGCGGUUAUACGAGAGGCCCAAGUUGAUAGGCCCCGGCGUAAAGAGUGGUUAAGGAUACCUCUUACUAAAGCCGAAAUCCGCCAAAGCUGUUAUACGCACCCGGCAGGUUUGAAGAACCACUACGAAGGUGGCUUUAAUUCCCCUGAACCCACGAAAGCUACGUCACAAACUGGGAUUAGAUACCCCACUAUGCCUAGCCCUAAACAUUGGUAGCACCUUACUACGCUGCCCGCCUGGGAACUACGAGCAUUAGCUUAAAACCCAAAGGACUUGGCGGUGCUUUAGACCCACCUAGAGGAGCCUGUUCUAGAACCGAUAAUCCCCGUUCAACCUCACCACCCCUUGUUUUACCCGCCUAUAUACCGCCGUCGUCAGCUUACCCUGUGAAGGACUUAUAGUAAGCAAAAUUGUUAAAACCCAAAACGUCAGGUCGAGGUGUAGCGCAUGAGGUGGGAAGAAAUGGGCUACAUUCCCUACUACAGGGAACACGGAAGCUGUAUUGAAAUCUACACCCGAAGGAGGAUUUAGCAGUAAGGAGAAAAUAGAGCGUUCCCCUGAAACUGGCCCUGAAGCGCGCACACACCGCCCGUCACUCUCCCCAAGCCUAACCGCAUCAAGUAAUUAACCAACUUUUUCCUGCAAAGGGGAGGCAAGUCGUAACAUGGUAAGUGUACCGGAAGGUGUGCUUGGAAAAAC